RNAcentral lists this ribosomal RNA (467 nucleotides) under uncultured bacterium. Its description in RNAcentral is "partial 16S ribosomal RNA". It matches the Rfam family "Bacterial small subunit ribosomal RNA", at positions 28 to 506 of the family's 1533-position model. The record is from RNAcentral.
GACGAACGCUGGCGGCGUGCUUAACACAUGCAAGUCGAACGGAAAGGCCCUGCUUUUGUGGGGUGCUCGAGUGGCGAACGGGUGAGUAACACGUGAGUAACCUGCCCUUGACUUUGGGAUAACUUCAGGAAACUGGGGCUAAUACCGGAUAGGAGCUCCUGCUGCAUGGUGGGGGUUGGAAAGUUUCGGCGGUUGGGGAUGGACUCGCGGCUUAUCAGCUUGUUGGUGGGGUAGUGGCUUACCAAGGCUUUGACGGGUAGCCGGCCUGAGAGGGUGACCGGCCACAUUGGGACUGAGAUACGGCCCAGACUCCUACGGGAGGCAGCAGUGGGGAAUAUUGCACAAUGGGCGGAAGCCUGUUGCAGCAACGCCGCGUGCGGGAUGACGGCCUUCGGGUUGUAAACCGCUUUCGCCUGUGACGAAGCGUGAGUGACGGUAAUGGGUAAAGAAGCACCGGCGAACUACGU